This 253-nucleotide ribosomal RNA is filed under the name uncultured bacterium. Its description in RNAcentral is "partial 16S ribosomal RNA". It matches the Rfam family "Bacterial small subunit ribosomal RNA", at positions 524 to 776 of the family's 1533-position model. The record is from RNAcentral.
UACAGAGGUCCCGAGCGUUGUUCGGAUUCACUGGGCGUAAAGGGUGCGCAGGUGGGUUGGCAAGUUUGAUGUGAAAGCCCCGGGCUUAACCCGGGAAUGGCAUUGAAUACUGCUGAUCUGGAGGAUCGGAGGGGGGACUGGAAUUCCUGGUGUAGCGGUGAAAUGCGCAGAUAUCAGGAGGAACACCAAUGGCGAAGGCAGCACUCUGGGACGUGACUGACGCUGAGACGCGAAAGCGUGGGGAGCAAACAGG